GAAAUGCGAUAAGUAAUGCGAAUUGCAGAAUCCGUGAGUCAUCGAAUCUUUGAACGCACAUUGCGCCCUCUGGUAACCCGGAGGGCAUGCCUGUCUGAGCGUCAUUUCAACCCUCAGGACCCGUUCGCGGGACCUGGCGUUGGGGAUCAGCCUGCCCCUGGCGGCGGCUGGCCCUGAAAUCCAGUGGCGGUUCCCUCGCGAACUCCUCCGUGCAGUAAUUAAACCUCUCGCGGCAGGAUAGCGGUUGAACCACGCCGUUAAACCCCCCACUUCUCAAGGUUGACCUCAGAUCAGGUAGGAAUACCCGCUGAACUUAAGC
Molecule: unclassified non-coding RNA, 319 nt
Filed under: plant metagenome
Description: partial contains 5.8S ribosomal RNA, internal transcribed spacer 2, and large subunit ribosomal RNA
Rfam family: 5.8S ribosomal RNA (bases 1-104)
Source: RNAcentral